This 232-nucleotide long non-coding RNA is filed under the name Sinocyclocheilus grahami. RNAcentral describes it as "lncRNA (ENSSGRG00000012261.1)". Lineage: Eukaryota; Metazoa; Chordata; Actinopteri; Cypriniformes; Cyprinidae. The record is from RNAcentral.
GUUAAUUUAUACAUAACAGUGCUUAGACUGACACUGCUGUAAAAAUGCAUAAGGCCUUCAUUACAGCCAGUCAGUGGCCGCAAAUUAGCGGGAAGUGAGAUAGAAGCUACGGAAAGUUCUGGAAUGUUCCACGGAAAAUAUACUGGGAUCUGUAAGGGGGCAGAGAGAGAGAAAGACAGAGACGAAGAGAGCACAUUAUCACACAUAGUCAAAAGAUCUCCAAAUGCUUCGG